RNAcentral lists this ribosomal RNA (254 nucleotides) under uncultured bacterium. Its description in RNAcentral is "partial 16S ribosomal RNA". It matches the Rfam family "Bacterial small subunit ribosomal RNA", at positions 524 to 776 of the family's 1533-position model. The record is from RNAcentral.
UACGUAGGGGGCAAGCGUUGUCCGGAAUCAUUGGGCGUAAAGAGCGUGUAGGCGGUCCGUUAAGUCGGCUGUGAAAGUCCAGGGCUCAACCCUGGGAUGCCGGUCGAUACUGCCGGACUAGAGUUCGGAAGAGGCGAGUGGAAUUCCCGGUGUAGCGGUGAAAUGCGCAGAUAUCGGGGAGGAACACCUAUGGCGAAGGCAGCUCGCUGGGACGUUACUGACGCUGAGACGCGAAAGCGUGGGGAGCAAACAGG